Molecule: ribosomal RNA, 253 nt
Filed under: uncultured bacterium
Lineage: Bacteria
Description: partial 16S ribosomal RNA
Rfam family: Bacterial small subunit ribosomal RNA
Source: RNAcentral
GACGUAGGGCGCGAGCGUUGUCCGGAUUUAUUGGGCGUAAAGAGCUCGUAGGCGGUCUGUCGCGUCGGCUGUGAAAACCCGGAGCUCAACUCCGGGCCUGCAGUCGAUACGGGCAGACUGGAGUUCGGCAGGGGAGACUGGAAUUCCUGGUGUAGCGGUGAAAUGCGCAGAUAUCAGGAGGAACACCGGUGGCGAAGGCGGAUCUCUGGGCCAUUACUGACGCUGAGGAGCGAAAGCGUGGGGAGCGAACAGG